CUUUCCUCCUUCCUUCCUUCUUCCUUCUUCAUCCUUUCUUCUUCUUCUUCUUCUUCUUCUUCUUCUUCUUCUUCUUCUUCUUCUUCUUCUUCUUCUUCUUCUUCUUCUGCUUCUGCUUCUGCUUCUGCUUCUGCUUCUGCUUCUGCUUCUUCUCUCUCUCUCCCUCUCUCCCUCUCUCUGUCUCUCUCUCUCUCUCUGUCUCUCUGUCUGUCUCUGUCUUCUGUCUCUGUCUCUCUCUGUCUCUCUGUCUCUCUGUCUCUGUCUCUAUGUAAGACGCACUCUCUCUCUCUCUCUCUCUCUGUCUCUGUCUCUCUCUCCCCCUUUCUGUAACUUUCAACCAUUCUUCCUACUUCUGCUCUCUGAGGAGCUCUAAAGCAAAAAUUUAAUACCCCUUCCAUGAGUUUAAAAAAAAUGUUGGAACUCCAAAGGGACUUAUAAGCUUGAGUCCCUAUAACAUAGGGACUUAUAAUAACAAAUAUCAGAACUUGAGGAUACUAUACCUCAUAGUAAAGAAUACCAAAACCAGAAUAAACCUUAGAAUAUUAGACUAGAAGAGAUAUUG
RNAcentral lists this long non-coding RNA (562 nucleotides) under Monodelphis domestica (gray short-tailed opossum). RNAcentral's name for it is "lncRNA (ENSMODG00000042779.1)". Lineage: Eukaryota; Metazoa; Chordata; Mammalia; Didelphimorphia; Didelphidae. The record is from RNAcentral.